GGGGUCGAUCAGGUUUCGACGUCGUGCAUUGAGCCAGGGGAAGCGUGCCGGUGCAGGCUGGAGACCACCGUGAGCGUCGCAGCACACUGAUAAGCGCCGAGAAGAACUCUCAGCGUGACUUCGCUCUCGCUGCCUAAUACAGCGAAGUGAGUCUGUCAGCCCGGAUUCCGUUCCCGGUCCGGUCACUGGCAUCGUUCAGGGGACUUCACCCGCCACCCGGGUCACCCGGGGUGACGGGGACAUUCAAGGGUGACUGGGCUCAUCGUCCGGACGUGUCCGCGUGAUCCGGAGAGCCGAGCAGGGAUGGUCGUGGACUGCGCACGGAGAAGCCCUGGCGAGGUCGCGACGGACCCGGGUUCAAUUCCCGGCGGCUCCACCG
This 379-nucleotide transfer-messenger RNA is filed under the name Corynebacterium nuruki. It matches the Rfam family "transfer-messenger RNA". From Rfam's summary of the family: Bacterial tmRNA, also known as 10Sa RNA or SsrA, is named for its dual tRNA and mRNA-like properties. Its role is to liberate the mRNA from a stalled ribosome. The record is from RNAcentral. Lineage: Bacteria; Bacillati; Actinomycetota; Actinomycetes; Mycobacteriales; Corynebacteriaceae.